ACCACGAAGCACACACAUACAAUAAUACUCUCUCUCUCUCUCUCGCCACACGUAAUUGUUCUUUUUAUCUUACAACACAACACGGCACACGACACCAUCAAGGCAUUUCUCUCUCUCUCUCUCUCGGGAAAGCGAGGCACAAUUUCAGCUCAUUCUUCUCCUCACUCAGCCGCUUGCUUCAUCUUCUUCUUCUAUUCUUUUCCCAAUUCUUCUAUCUUUGCUUCUCAUGCUUCUUUCUCCGCGCUGCGGAUUCAUAAUUUUGACCUCAAGAAUAAAAGCUAUUUGUAUAUGUGGCCAAGAAGAUGAAGCACAUGCUGAAGUUGUUCGAGCCUUUCUUGUGUUCAUUGCCUUCAGAUGGAGUGGUGAAUGUCUAGCUUCUUCAUUACAGGAAUUCCAACCAUGAAGUGGAUGGUUCAUUCAUUUCACAAAUUUAUUGCUGUAGAAGAUAUUAUCUAAUAUUUCUGCCACGGAACUUUUCCUUGUCUUUCAUGGAACCUUGAGCACUCUCUUCACCUAUGAAAUGAUAGCUGGAGAUCUUUAAAGAAGAUAAACUGAACUGAUAGAACAGACAACGAUUUUCAGCUCAGCUCAGUUGAACUGAGAGAACAGGAAAUACCCCCAACCACGAGGUCCACAGAGAAACACAGCACCUGCUGCAACUUUGCGUUCAAAAGAUGCCAAAUCCUACGUAAGUUCAACUAUUUAAACCCUAUCCACGGCCCUUGCAAAAGGCCAAAUUCCAACCCAAAGAUAAUAAUAACUCCCACCGAAAUAACUACUUAAUUAUGAAAAAGGGUCAAUUGGACCCUCACUUGGAGGGAGCUUUAAUAUUGUUGUCUUAAAUUCCCAAACUUUCAAAAUAGGGUCAAUUGGACCCUCACUUGGAGAGAGCUUAGCCCUCCAACCAACAACUCUAGUGUCCAUCCAAAAAAAGAUAUUGCCGUCUAGCAUGUUAAAACCAUAUAAAAAAGAAUUUUUGAAUGGAAACAAGAUUUUUGAUCAGAAAUCUGAUCCUAAAAUCCUAAAUCCCAGAUGAUUCUUCACACAAGGAGAAAGAACCUUUUUAGUUGUUAGGCUAAGCAAGGCUCACGAAAGGAGUCCACAAACCAAGACCCAUAACUAUUAGAUCCUAAUGAAUCCUUAAAUAAAUUAACCUAAUCAAUACUUAAAUAAAAUAAAUUUUAUGCCCAACAAAUACUCCCUUCGUCCCAUUUAUAUAGGUUUGUUUUUUUUUGUUCAGAUGUCCCAAAUAUUUAGGCUUGUUUCCAUAAAAGGUAAUGUUUUUUGAUUCAUUUACUAAUAUGUCCUCAUUUAAUUCUUUAAUUUACUCUUUAAUUCAUCAUUAAAUAAUAAAUAUGGGCAUAUUGGGAAGUUUAGUUGUAUAUUUUUAUUUUCACUUAUUUUUCUUAAUCGUUGUGUAAAUUGCAACCGGCCUAUAUAAAUGGGACGGAGGGAGUAUGUAUACUUAAUAUCCAUACAAUUUACAUCAGCUAUAUAACCAAUCACAAUCAUUUUCUUUUAACCUUCUGGUCAACUAGGUAUAAUGUUUCAAACCUUCUGAUCAACUAGGUACAAGAGAAGUCUAUAGUUGGCAUUGCAUCUUGUCCCGGUAUAAAGAGUAACUGUCAUAAUGCAAUCUAAGUACGGAUUGAUGGAUUUGUGGUCAUGACAAAUUUAUGUAGUUAAAGUUUAUGGAUAAGAGGAUCAUGAAACUGUGAGGAUACUAGAAGUCAAUUCAUUCAUAUCCGUAAGCCAGUUUAACAAUCCGAGCUAUUUUAGUAAUAUCAGAAUCAGCUGGUUAAAAGAAGAUUGAACCACUGGAAGAAACUCUGCUUCAAAGCUUAUCCAAGGCUGAAGUUUUGAUUAGAAGAACAUAAAGCAAUUAAGUUUUGUAGUUACUCCUGAUUGAUUAAAAAGUGUAAAUAUUUUAGCUUUAGAUGUAUAUUAUACCCCCUCAGUCCACAAAAAAUAGUCCUAGAAGUGGACGACACGACACGAGUUUUAAUAAAAAUAGUUGAGUGUAUUGUGAGUGGAGAAAGGGUCCCACUUUCUCACUUAGAAAGUGAUGUUAAUAAUGAUAAUUAAUUGUAUUGUGAGCGGAGAAAGAUGCCCACCAUGUGAUAGAAAGUUUUGAAAAAUGAAAAGAGACUACUUUUUGUGGACGGCCCAAAAUGGCAAAAAUGUACUAUUUUUUGUGGACGGAGGGAGUAUGUUUUUGGUAGAUAUGUUAUCAAUCUGUGUAUGACAUUGUAAUUAAAAAGCUCUUAGGAUUCAUGCAAAAAUCUCAACUUCUUAAUAUACCAUUGAUGAUUGUCAAACUUAAUACUCCCCCUAUCCAACAAAAGUAUGGACACUUUGCCAUUUUCAUCCGUUUCACAAAAAUAUGCACUUUCUAUUUUGGACUCUUAUCCCUUAUUUUUAAACCUCAACAUCUCAACUUAUGUACAACAAAUACCAACUGUGGGCCCCUCUUCACUCACACCACAUUCAACUAAUAUUUUUAAAACUCGUGCUGGACACUUUUGUGGGACAUGGGGAAGUAUUACUUCUUUCUCUCCCUUAUCACAUGAUUUUAUCUUCCCUUUUCAUUAGGCUAUUUACACUUUUAAGGUCUAGGAGAUUACUGCUCUUCAUUAGGCUAAAUGAGUUGGACAUGGACACUGGACAUUUGAUCGUGAAGAUUACCUUGACUUCAGAAGUUGAAUUUGCCAAUUGGUGAGGAUCCUCUUUUGCUUUGUCGUACCUUUCAAUCACCGACUUCAUGCUGUACAAAAUUUGCAUAAAUGUCAGAUCUUAUAAGUUAUAAUGGUGUUCCAUGAAUAUGUAAGGAAUUUCUUUAGUAGUAAGUUAUGCAUUUAUCGUUUUGUUUGCCA
Salvia miltiorrhiza (redroot sage) is the source of this 2873-nucleotide long non-coding RNA. RefSeq lists it as uncharacterized. Lineage: Eukaryota; Viridiplantae; Streptophyta; Magnoliopsida; Lamiales; Lamiaceae. The transcript is spliced from 4 exons. The record is from RefSeq and is a predicted model, not a curated record.